Nicotiana attenuata is the source of this 107-nucleotide small nucleolar RNA. It matches the Rfam family "Plant small nucleolar RNA R71". From Rfam's summary of the family: R71 is a member of the C/D box family of snoRNAs containing the C (UGAUGA) and D (CUGA) box motifs. Multiple nearly identical copies of this snoRNA have been identified in Arabidopsis, and it is thought to function as a 2'-O-ribose methylation guide for 18S ribosomal RNA. Lineage: Eukaryota; Viridiplantae; Streptophyta; Magnoliopsida; Solanales; Solanaceae. The record is from Rfam.
AUACCAUGAUGUGGACACAUAAUCAGCAAACCCUUGAAUCUCUCCCACGUUUCUUGUAAAGUCUCUAUUGGUUUCUGUCUAAAGCUCAAUAUCUCAUCAAUUUGUUG